This 497-nucleotide ribosomal RNA is filed under the name uncultured bacterium. RNAcentral's name for it is "partial 16S ribosomal RNA". It matches the Rfam family "Bacterial small subunit ribosomal RNA", at positions 28 to 507 of the family's 1533-position model. The record is from RNAcentral.
GAUGAACGCUGGCGGCGUGCCUAAUACAUGCAAGUCGAGCGAACAGAUAAGGAGCUUGCUCCUUUGACGUUAGCGGCGGACGGGUGAGUAACACGUGGGUAACCUACCUAUAAGACUGGGAUAAAUUCGGGAAACCGGAGCUAAUACCGGAUAACAUUUGGAACCGCAUGGUUCUAAAGUGAAAGAUGGUUUUGCUAUCACUUAUAGAUGGACCCGCGCCGUAUUAGCUAGUUGGUAAGGUAACGGCUUACCAAGGCAACGAUACGUAGCCGACCUGAGAGGGUGAUCGGCCACACUGGAACUGAGACACGGUCCAGACUCCUACGGGAGGCAGCAGUAGGGAAUCUUCCGCAAUGGGCGAAAGCCUGACGGAGCAACGCCGCGUGAGUGAUGAAGGGUUUCGGCUCGUAAAACUCUGUUAUUAGGGAAGAACAAACGUGUAAGUAACUGUGCACGUCUUGACGGUACCUAAUCAGAAAGCCACGGCUAACUACGUG